This 449-nucleotide ribosomal RNA is filed under the name uncultured bacterium. RNAcentral's name for it is "partial 16S ribosomal RNA". It matches the Rfam family "Bacterial small subunit ribosomal RNA", at positions 29 to 523 of the family's 1533-position model. The record is from RNAcentral.
AACGAACGCUGGCGGCAUGCCUAACACAUGCAAGUCGAACGAGAUCUUCGGGUCUAGUGGCGCACGGGUGCGUAACGCGUGGGAAUCUGCCCUUUGGUUCGGAAUAACAGUUGGAAACGACUGCUAAUACCGGAUGAUGACGAAAGUCCAAAGAUUUAUCGCCAGAGGAUGAGCCCGCGUAGGAUUAGCUAGUUGGUGUGGUAAAGGCGCACCAAGGCGACGAUCCUUAGCUGGUCUAAGAGGAUGAUCAGCCACACUGGGACUGAGACACGGCCCAGACUCCUACGGGAGGGAGCAGUGGGGAAUAUUGGACAAUGGGCGAAAGCCUGAUCCAGCAAUGCCGCGUGAGUGAUGAAGGCCUUAGGGUUGUAAAGCUCUUUUACCCGGGAUGAUAAUGACAGUACCGGGAGAAUAAGCUCCGGCUAACUCCGUGCCAGCAGCCGCGGUAA